GACGAACGCUGGCGGCGUGCUUAACACAUGCAAGUCGAACGGAAAGGCCCUGCUUGCCGGGUACUCGAGUGGCGAACGGGUGAGUAACACGUGGGUGAUCUGCCCUGCACUUCGGGAUAAGCCUGGGAAACUGGGUCUAAUACCGGAUAGGAGCCAUUUUUAGUGUGAUGGUUGGAAAGUUUUUUCGGUGUAGGAUGAGCUCGCGGCCUAUCAGCUUGUUGGUGGGGUAAUGGCCUACCAAGGCGGCGACGGGUAGCCGGCCUGAGAGGGUGGACGGCCACAGUGGGACUGAGAGACGGCCCAGACGCCGACGGGAGGCAGCAGUGGGGAAUAUUGCACAAUGGGCGCAAGCCGGAUGCAGCGACGCCGCGGGGGGGAUGACGGCCUUCGGGUUGUAAACUCCUUUCGCUAGGGACGAAGCUUUUUGUGACGGUACCUAGAUAAGAAGCACCGGCUAACUACGUG
RNAcentral lists this ribosomal RNA (465 nucleotides) under uncultured bacterium. RNAcentral's name for it is "partial 16S ribosomal RNA". It matches the Rfam family "Bacterial small subunit ribosomal RNA", at positions 28 to 507 of the family's 1533-position model. The record is from RNAcentral.